GAAAAUUACAAGGGGGAGAGACGGGUCAAAAGAAAGAAAAAGAAAAGGGGAGAUGGCGUUGGCCAAGAGGGCGAUUACAAGGAAUCCCACUGCCCCGAAACUAUGAACCGGGAUAAGGAGGAAAGAAGAACGGGAAAGAAGGGGGGAACAAAGAGAGAAACUGUACCCCGUCUUUUGAGAGAGGUCGAAGGAAGUAUAGAAGGAAGUGUAGAAGACGAUGUCUGAAGAAGCAAAGAGAAUCAUAACAAAGGUAUGAUUCCUUUUGUCGACCCGCAACAUUGGUAAAAACUCCUAGCUCUCUUUGUUCUUUCCAUAAUUGCUUUGUAUCAAUCUUCUUAUUACUUUCAAUUUUAUACAUUGGGUGUGUUGAUCAAAUUAUCAUGUUUAAGGGUUUGGGAAAAAUGGUCAAUUCUUGUUUAUUGUUGACAUAAUUGAAAUUAAAGUUAUAAAUAUGAUUGAAUUGUAUAAAAGUAUUUUGAAGUUACGUUUUGGAUUAGAAGAAUUUGGUUCUAAGUUGCAGGAACUUAUGUGUCUGCAGAGAAAAGCUAUGUUUCAGUAGCUUACUUUGGCUCUUGAUUUCUAUGUCCUAAUGGAUUCCUUUUGAUCCAUUAUUAUGUGUUUUGAAACUAGACAUGUCAAUGAUCAAAGCCCAUCUGAUUUCACAUAAUUCUGUUGAGUUUUGAUAUGUCAAAACCAUGUACAAAUUUGAGUCACAAAGCUGCCAGACAGCAGCAAAUACUGGAUUUCCAGUUUCGUGGUUCUAUUAUGUAUCUUGCAUAACUUUCAAAUCGGAACCCCAUUUCUUACAAAUCUUAGAUGUUUUUAAUGUACUCAAAACAAGCUUCGAAUCUCAUGUAAGUUUACAUCAUUUGGUGUAGUUAUGGGUGUUCAAAUCGAGCUUAAUCUUGAUUGACUAAGACUGUUUUUUUGCAACUUUUGUGGAGAUGAGGCUGUUGCUUUUGCAAUAUCAUUUCUUCUUACAACUUAAUUCUAAUUUACUUAUCUAUUUUGAGUUUGUGCUAAAACCACUUGAUAAGGUUACGUAUUGGGUUCCAAAAGAACCACUUUCUUAUAUAAUUAUGUGCCAACGUAUUUAUGUAUUCUUUACCUAUUCAGGUUGCGUAUACACAUAUUUGUAUAUUCAUGCAUAAGCAUGCAAGUUCUUGAACUACACCAAAAUAACCUUUACGUUCGCAAUUCUUUUUCAUAUGUUGCUAUGGCUGUUGGGUAGUUCCAACUUUACCGAUCAAAGCAUUUCUUUAAAGUCAGAAACAAUGAAUAUUAUAUAGGUGUGUAUUAUAUGAUUCCAUCCCUUGGCUUAUAAGAUAAAUCUGAGUAAAGCUGUGAUAUGAUUGUAAGCUCAAUUACUUUAUUGUGUUGGUGCAUUUUUAUACCUAUUGAAACACAUCAUUACUAAUGGUCCAGAAUUAUUCCUUCAUGUGUAUUUACAAAGAUUUAUUUUGGAUGAACCAAAUAGGGCAUUGAAUUUGGAUACUGUUACAUUAGUAAUCCAAAGUACUGUCAUUAGGAUUAAAAUUCAAGUCAUGCAUAUAGUAGUAUCUUGCAUUUGUGAAACAGAAUUUGGCCACGAUGGUGGAUCCUUGUGUUAGUAACUAAGAGCAAUGCUUAGGAAUCCAUGUAAGUGAAAUACGACAUACCUUUAUGGAGAUGAUGAGGUUUAGAUAUACCUGGUACAUUUAGUAGGUACCAUAUGCUUGCUUGGAUUCCGUUGAGUGAUGGUCUAGAAUUCCUUUUACUCCGGAUUUCGUUGAGAGAUGGUCUGGAAUCCCUUCUACUCUACGAUUUCGUUGAGUGAUGUUCCGGAAUCGUAUCUAACUUGGGUUUCACUUAGUGGUGGUUGUGCAUUGUGCUCAGCGAUUCCGUUGAGUGAUGGUCCGGAAUCGUAUCCACUCGGAUUCCGUUGAGAGAUGAUCCGAAAUCCCUCAUACUCCGUGAUUCCGUUGAGUGAUGGUCUGUAAUCAUAUCUUGAUUUGGAGUCCGUUGAGUAGUCCGGAAUCCCUACUCUUGCUCAUUUCCAUAAGUUAGAUUUGUUCCCUGGAUUCGAGUGAAUGAGAUUUACCCACAAUAGAUCUUAUGAAUAUAAAUUAGAAUUAUCAAGUUAUUACUUGAAAUUCAGGCAGGGAAUUAUGUAGAAGUUCUUUAUUAAUUUUUGUGCAUUGAGGUGUGAUCUGAUUGACUGAUUAGCAUAAUUAAAUGUUAAUAUCGUGCCUCCUUGAUAUCAUGGAAUGGGUUACUUGAGAUGAUUAUGGAAGGAUGUUGAAGUUAUUAACAUGAUUAGAUUAGUGAUUAAUGCGACUAGAGGAUACUAUUGUGCUAUGUUGAUUCUUUGAUAUAUUACAUGAUAUGAAUAGCGAUUUUAUGUUGAAGCAUAAUGAUUUAUAUGAUGGAUGAAAUAGAAACCUUGAAUGUCAUGUGGGUUUGUUUUGUAGCCAAGAAUCUAGUAAUUCAUGCUUGUUAAGUUCUAAUAAUUGAUUGAGGAAUACUAUACUUUUCGAUUUGAAUGUACUGUGAUAAACGUCCCAAUGUAAUGAAAAGUUGAACUAUGAAUGGGUUGAUCCUUAUUGAGGGUACGUAGGCAGUUUAACGAAGAGAUUAGAUGGAGCCAUAAAGUAUAUGCAAAAUUAUUAUGCAUCUGGAUCUUGAAUUAUAUUUUGUACAUAUCAAAAAGGCGAUGUAUGUUGAGUUACGGGCAUUUAGGGACGUCACGUGUCUAUCUUGGACGUAUGUCGGGAUCAGGGCUUGACACUUUAUGUGCUUAGGUGCGUUUAUUAGCGGCGAUUCCGUUCUUCCUACUUCAUAUGGCUCUUCGUUGGUGAAGUAUCUGUGAGUGGACCCCUUCUAAAAUGCAUGUUUUAAUAGUAGAAUUGCAUACAUGAAAAGCAUGAUUUAAUGACUGUGUUUUAUGAUAUAUUAUGCUUACUGAGAAUAGUUUGAAUUAUCAUAUUUUAUCGAACUGAUGUUCUUUGUAGUAUAUAUGAUGGAUGACUAUAUACUAUUUAGAACAUGCUUUUACACACUUCUUUAUAGUAUAGAUAAUGGAUGACUUUAUACUAUGAAGAUGUUUUGAGAUUUAUAUAUAUACCUACGUUUGGAAAGAUUAUGUUCAAUGUUUUGUGUAUCUAGUGGUCACUAUACCUCCACGGGCAAGGAUUAUGGUUGUUGGCUGCGGCUCGGAAGAAAUAAUCUUUAGCUUCGGGCUGAGAGACAUGGAGCAAGCAUAGGGCCUGGAGAAAUAAUCUCUGGCUUCGGGCGUAGAGACAAGGAAGCUGGCAUGAGACCGAGAGUUAUUGAUAUUUGAUACCAUUAUUUAGCACACUAUAUACGAGAUAUGUGACUUGGAAAGAUUUUAUGGCAUGCUAGGGUUUUCGGAAAACCUAUCACAUAUUAUGUUAUUAGUUUUCAUAAAACUUUGGGGGUUAGUACGUUGAAUAGCUGUUUCAGUAGUAUAUAUAUAUAUAUAUAUCAACUUGGUCCACUCAUGUUUUGUUUUGCGCCCCCUUUAGGACUUAGAAUUGAGGUGUACAAUCCCGGCGUCGAAGCACUUCCACAUCGCCAUUUUCGAGUCCUCUCGGUGUACAACCCAUUUCUUUACUGUAGAGAAGUCAAUGAUAUCAUUCCUGAUAUCUUGGCUUAGUUUAGGUAACAUUUUUGUAAUUGAUUUGUAUAAAGUUUAGUUUCCUGUUGUAUACCUAGAAAGUAGGGUAAUUUACUUCUAAGUCAAGUAUUCUUCUUUGUAUAAAUCUCCUUGUUUCAAAAGAAGAAAAAUACUUCCGCAAAUCAUAUUUUUGCUCUAUUCUUUACAUGGUAUCAAGAGCUGGGUCGAAACCCUAGUUUUUGCCGCUACCCUUUCUUUCUAUUUUUCAAUAGCCAUCUUCCGUCAACCAUCAUGGCCACUGACGAAAUUCCCAAAGGUUUUGCGGCUGACGUCAAAACUGAUGUUUCAAAUCCUUUGUUUAUUCAUCAUUCAGAUCACUCAUCUAUGAUGCUGGUUUCGAAGCCCCUUAAUGGGGACAACUACUCUACCUGGUCUCGUGCAAUGAGAAUCUCCCUUAGUGCCAAAAAACAAGCUAGGUUUUAUUGAUGGUACUGUUACACAGCCUUCCGAGAAAACCAAACCUGCUGAUCAUGCUACAUGGCAGAGAUGCAAUGACAUGAUCGUUGUAUGGAUUAUCAACUCCAUUGAUUCAGAAAUUUCAGACAAUAUUCUUUACAUGACUGAUGCUCAUGCAAUCUGGGAGGAGUUGCGUGAGCGUUAUUCUCAAAGCAAUGUUCCUCGGAUUUUCCAAUUACAACGGGACAUUGCUUCUCUUACUUAAGACCAACUUUCAGUUGCUGCGUACUACACUAAGCUGAAGAAAUUAUGGGAUGAACUGGCGUCAUACAAUGACUCCACUUCCUGCACAUGUGGAGCGCAAAAUGAAAGAAAUAAAUUAAUACAGUUCCUUAUGGGUCUCAACGAGUCCUAUAGUGCCAUUCGAGGGCAAGUCUUGUUGAUGAACCCUUUACCAACUGUUCGUCAGGCCCAUGCUUCAAUUUCCUAGGAAAAGAAGCAAAGAUCUCUUACUGCUUCACGUGGAGUCACCAAGACAGCAGCUAUGGCUGUUCGAUAAGGUGGUUCACGGUGAUCUGGAUCUUCAAGUCGUAAGCCCUUGCAUUGUACUCAUUGUGAUCAUGACUAUCACACCAUUGAUACUUGUUACCAACUUCACGGGUAUCCACUGGGGCAUCGUCUUCACAAAGUCAAGCCUCAAAAAAGAAGCAAGUCUUCUAAAAAGGAAGGCAAUUCUUCUUCGUCUGCAAAUCAAGUUUCAACAGGUGCAACUUUGGAAGAGAUGAGGUCGGUGAUGUCCAGGUUAUCUGACACUCAAUUCCAGCAAAUCCUUGACAUCAUGAAUAAUAAAGGAGUUGAUGUCUCCGUUCCUCCAAAAGCUAAUGCCACUGCCAUAAAGACAGGUUUGUCGAAAUCUUUUUUGCAUUUACGUCGAUGGAUAAUUGACAAUGGUGCAACAGAUCAUAUAACCUCCUCACCUGAUUUGCUUACUGAUGGUGUCAAAAACACCAAUUUGUCACCAGUUUUAUUACCAAGUGGAGAGCAAGCUCGCAUAGUCUCCACUGGGACAAUUCUUUUGAGUUCCACUUUUUUGUUACGAGAUGUGUUGUGUGUGCCCUCUUUUCAAGUAUAUUUGAUGUCUGUGAGUCGAAUUACAAGUGGAUUGCAUUGUUCUGUAACCUUUUUUCCCUUCAUGGUGUCUUAUGCAGGACUUGACGACGAAGAAGGUGAUUGGUUUAGGUAAGCAACGUGGAGGACUUUACUACUUGGUAACGUUGAUUCCCACCGUCUCUGGUAGCUCUCGCCAAGUUUGCAACCUUGUUCUCUCACCUACAGAGUUGUGGCAUCGGCGUUUGGGUCAUUUAUCUCCUUCUAGGCUCGAUUUCAUGUCAAAACACCUGUUGCAUUUUCCUUUUCAAUCCAAUAAUGCUUGUAAUGUUUGUCCUUUAGCCAAGCAAAGUCGUUUACCUUUUAGUAUCAGUUCCAUUACAACCACAAAACCUUUUGAUUUGAUCCAUUGUGAUAUUUGGGGUCCUUACGCAGUUGCAUCAACUUCUGGAGCCAAGUAUUUCUUAACUAUUGUGGAUGAUUAUUCUCGUUUCACAUGGAUAUUUUUUAUGCAACACAAAUCAGAAACACAGCACAUCCUCAAGGGUUUUUUCUCUUUUGUUCAAACUCAGUUUAAUACAUCCAUUCGCCAAAUACGAGUGGACAAUGGUAGAUAAUUUUUUUCUCUUCAUGGUUUCUUCCAAGAUCAUGGGGUCCUUUAUCAACGCUCUUGUGUCUAUACACCCCAACAAAAUGGGGUCGUCGAGCGCAAGCAUCGUCACAUACUUGAAAUUGCUCGUGCUUUGCGUUUCCAAGCUAACCUUCCUAUUACUUUUUGGGGGGAAUGUGUCCUUACGGCUGUCCAUAUUAUUAAUCGUCUUCCUACCCUCAUUCUUUCCAAAAAUACUCCUUUUGAACAAUUGUACUAAAACCACCUUCAUUUUCCCACCUUAAAGUCUUCGGUUGUCUUGCUUAUGCCACCAACACCCAUAUCUCUCACAAGUUUGCUCCCCGAGCCCACAAAUUUGUCUUCCUUGGCUACACGUUGGUUAAAAAGCGUACAAACUUUACAACUUUACCACUCAUACUUUUUUUACUAGCAGGGAUGUUGUUUUUCAUGAACAUAUUUUUCCUUACCAUUCUUCUCCAUCCUCUACUUCACCUAACCCUACGCCACUACCUAUCGUCUUUCCUCACCCUACACCCUCUUUACCUGAGCCUCAAGCUACUACACCUUCUACCUCACCCGUGUCUACUGAUACUCCUACCACUUUUUUUUCGCCCGAGAUUUCAACUGAUUCUGACCUACACCCUGAUGCAUCUUCUCUCGAGCCUGCUGCCUCCCUGCCUCCUGCACCACCUGCACCGAUGCUUCGCCGAUCUAGCCGCCACUCCUCACCGCCUCCAAGGUUGCGAGAUUAUGACUGCCCCACUCUUAAGCUUACCCAACCUGAUCCUCCAUCGUCUUCAUUGUCUGGUCAUGCUAAUAGUACGCGUUAUCCACUUGCUAAUUAUCUCACUUAUCAUCGUUUCUCACUUGCACAACAAUCUUUUCUUGCAACUAUCACUCAACAGGUUAAGCCCCAGACUUAUGCCGAGGCUGCUGCUUCCUCUCAUUGGCAGGUUGCCAUGACUUCUGAACUACAGGCUCUCGAAGCUAAUCACACAUGGACUCUCACUUCUCUUCCGACUGGUAAAUCUCCCAUUGGUUGUCAAUGAGUCUAUAAAAUCAAGCUUCAUUCUGAUGGAUCCAUUGAGCAUUAUAAAGCUCGUUUGGUUGCCAAGGGUUACACACAACUUGAAGGGAUUGACUUUCAUGAUACUUUCUCUCCCACUGCUAAGAUGACAACUGUUCGCUGCCUCUUAGCUCUUGCUGCUUCCUGUUCCUGGUCUCUUCAUCAACUUGAUGUCAACAAUACGUUUCUUCAUGGUGAUCUUCAUGAAGAAAUCUAUAUGCUUCCUCCUCCCGGUCUUCGGCGAUAGGGGAGAAUUUGGUAUGUCGCCUUAACAAAUCCUUAUAUGGACUGAAGCAAGCAUCCCGGUAAUGGUUUGCCAAGUUUUCUGAGUCUAUUCACUGUGCUGGUUAUGUUCAAUCAAAGGCUGAUUACUCUUUGUUCACAAGGCAGCAAGGCAAGUCUUUUAUAGCUCUUUUAAUUUAUGUUGAUGAUAUUCUGAUCACUGGAAAUUAUCCUAAUGCCAUUAGGGAUCUCAAAAAUUUCUCAAUAGUCGUUUCAAAAUCAAGGACCUUGGUGACUUGAAAUACUUUCUAGGCAUCGAAGUGUCACGAUCAAAGAAUGGGAUUUUCAUUUCUCAACGUAAGUAUGCUUUAGAGAUUCUGAAGGAUGGUGGUCUUUUGGGAACUCGUCCAAUCGAGUUUCCUAUGGAGCUGAAUCUUAAACUUUCUGACAAUGGUGAGUUACUUAAAGAUCCGGCACAGUAUAGGAGGUUGGUGGGUCGAUUGAUCUAUUUAACAAUUACUAGGCCGGAUAUCACAUAUUCGGUGCAUGUGCUAAGUAGGUUUAUGCAUGAACCUCGCCGUCCACACAUGGAAGUAGCUCUCCGAGUUUUGAAAUACAUAAAGAUUACUCCUGGACAAGGUUUAUUUUUCUCUUCUAAAAAUGACUUGACCUUGAAUGCAUACUGUGAUUCAGAUUGGGCAGGAUGUUCUAUGACACAAAGAUCAACCACAGGGUAUUGCGUGUUUUUGGGUUCUUCAUUGGUUUCUUGGAGAUCAAAGAGACAAAAAACCGUAUCUUUAUCUUUCAUCAUCUGAGCUGAGGCCGAGUAUAGAGCCAUGACUGGAACUUGUUGUGAACUAUCAUGGCUUCGAUAUCUUCUAAAGGACUUGGGAUUGUUGCAUCCAAAACCGGCCUUAUUACAUUGUGACAACAAAGCAGCUCUUCAUAUUGCUGCCAAUCCAGUUUUCCAUGAGCGGACUAGACAUAUAGAGAUGGAUUGCCAUUUUGUUCGAGAUAAAAUACAAGAUGGUUCUAUUGUUACGCGAUUUGUUCCUUCUUCACAACAACUUGCAGAUGUGUUCACGAAGGCAUUGGGAAAGGAAUCUUUCUUGUCCAUUAUACACAAGUUGGGAGUUCUUGACAUCCACUCUCCAACUUGAGGGGGAGUGUAGAGAAGUCAAUGAUAUCAUUCCUGAUAUCUUGGCUUAGUUUAGGAAACAUUUUUGUAAUUGAUUUGUAUAAAGUUUAGUUUCCUGUUGUAUACCUAGAAAGUAGGGUAAUUUACUUCCAAGUCAAGUAUUCUUCUUUGUAUAAAUCUCCUUGUUUCAAUAGAAGAAAAAUACUUCCGCAAAUCAUAUUUUUGCUCUAUUCUUUACAUUUACUCAUUCAAUUUUAUAUAUUUUUUUAGUAUUUUAGUUAGUUGUAUGCUCUGAACACGUUCCUCAUUUGCAUAUUAAUUAUAUUUAAAUUUACAAGUCUUAUUUAUUUCUUGUUCUCAUGCAUUCUAGUAUAGCUUCGUCACCUUCGAGUGUCGGCCAGCACGUGCCUACCCUGAUGUCUGGGGAAUAUUAGGAUCAGGCGUGUCAUUGGAUCUUGUUGAUUUGGUAUUUAUUUGGAUGUGGUAUUUUUGUUCAACUGGUAUUUGACUGACUCAGUGACAGUAAUUCAGUUGCCUAUUUUUACUUUCACCUUGAUUACCGAUUGCGAAGUGAUUUUCACCACCCUCGUUUUAUAGAACAGAGAAUAAAAGUAAAGGGAGGUAUCAGAAGGAGAAACUGGGAGUGUGAAAAUCACUACCCUUACUGAUUAAGUUUCAUUCAAACUUCUCAACUGCCAAAUGGACCUUGUUAAUCGUCAGGUAACUGUGCAUUGAUCUUAACUAAACAUGGAAUUAAGUAAUCUUAACUAUAUGUCUAUGUUGUGAAAUUAUUGGAUUGAAGUUAAAAGGCUAGAAAAUGAGUUCUUGGUUAAUACAAGUAAUAAGGAAGGGAAACGAAAUGAUCAAACAAUUUUGGUAAUUACAGAAUCAAGAGCCUGCAUCAUUAACAACUAACGAGCUUCAAAUGCAGUUAUUGUCAAGCCGUUCAUAGAAUCUGAUCCUUUCGGAAUUAAUGGAUCAGCAUCAUCACAAGAACUUUUUCUGAAGACAAAUGCAGGCUGUUUAGGAGAUGGUGGAGAUGUUUCACCACUCAACAUGAAAACAACGGUUGACAUUGGUCGGUCCUUCGAAUCUUCUUCCACGCACAAGAGCCCAACUUGAAUGCAUCGCAUUACUUCAUCCGACGGAAAUGACUCUAGUGACGAAUCCACAAUUUCUAAGGGUCUGCCUUCUCUCCACAGCUGAUCAUUUUAAACAAAGGGUAGAUUUUAAAUAAAUUUUAGCAGAAAUUCUGUUACUUACAUUUCCUAUCAAGUUUAUGGAAUGAUCAUCCUGAUAAACACCGUUGUUUUUCUUGCUGCUUAUAAUCUCCAAUAAUAUGAUCC
Molecule: long non-coding RNA, 9561 nt
Filed under: Malus domestica (apple)
Lineage: Eukaryota; Viridiplantae; Streptophyta; Magnoliopsida; Rosales; Rosaceae
Description: long non-coding RNA (MDOM_LNC009735)
Source: RNAcentral